This is an RNA transcript of Rhinopithecus roxellana (golden snub-nosed monkey), 397 nucleotides long. It is a transcript of the gene named D-dopachrome tautomerase like, with no coding region annotated. NCBI's taxonomy places the organism in Eukaryota, Metazoa, Chordata, Mammalia, Primates, Cercopithecidae. The record is from RefSeq and is a predicted model, not a curated record. The transcript has 3 exons.
CUGUUUUCCUUUCUCUGCCUGCCAUACCCUUCCUAGAGCUAGACAGGAAUUUGCCCAACAACCGAGUGCCCGCAGGGCUGGAGAAACGACUCUGCGCCGCCGCUACCUCAAUCCUGGGCAAACCUGCGGACGUCAGCGUGGGCCAGGCAGCACAGGGCGAGGGGAGCGCAUGCAGGUGACAGUGCGUACAGGCCUGGCCGUGGCGCUGAGCGGGUCCACCGAGCCCUGCGCGCAGCCGUCCAUCUCCUCCAUCUGCGUAGUGCUGAGGACAACCGCAGCCACAGCGCCCACUUCUUUGAGUUUCUCACCAAGGAGCAAACCCUGGGCCAAGACUGGGCAGGACUGGAGACCUGCAGACCGCCACGUCUGAGCUCCCCACCUGCGGUAAGCUCCCGCG